This 305-nucleotide ribosomal RNA is filed under the name uncultured bacterium. RNAcentral's name for it is "bacterial SSU rRNA". It matches the Rfam family "Bacterial small subunit ribosomal RNA", at positions 335 to 657 of the family's 1533-position model. The record is from RNAcentral.
GUUCCUACGGGACGCAGCAGUGGGGGAUAUUGCACAAUGGGGGGAACCCUGAUGCAGCGACGCCGCGUGGGUGAAGAAGCGCCUCGGCGCGUAAAGCCCUGUCAGCAGGGAAGAAAAUGACGGUACCUGAAGAAGAAGCCCCGGCUAACUACGUGCCAGAAGCCGCGGUAAUACGUAGGGGGCAAGCGUUAUCCGGAUUUACUGGGUGUAAAGGGGGCGCAGACGGCGAUGCAAGCGAGGAGUGAAAGCCCGGGGCCCAACCCCGGGACUGCUCUUGGAACUGCGGGGCUGGCGUGAAGGAGGGG